AGGGUUCCUGUCCAACGUUAUUCGGGGCAGGGGGAGUCGACCCCUAAGGCGAGGCCGAAAGGCGUAGUCGAUGGGAAACGGGUUAAUAUUCCCGUACUUGGUGUUACUGCGAAGGGGGGACGGAGAAGGCUAUGUUGGCCGGGCGACGGUUGUCCCGGUUUAAGCGUGUAGGCUGGUUUUCCAGGCAAAUCCGGUUCACUUUAACACUGAGGCGUGAUGACGAGGCACUACGGUGCUGAAGCAACAAAUGCCCUGCUUCCAGGAAAAGCCUCUAAGCAUCAGGUAACAUCAAAUCGUACCCCAAACCGACACAGGUGGUCAGGUAGAGAAUACCAAGGCGCUUGAGAGAACUCGGGUGAAGGAACUAGGCAAAAUGGUGCCGUAACUUCGGGAGAAGGCACGCUGACACGUAGGUGAAGUGAUUUACUCACGGAGCUGAAGUCAGUCGAAGAUACCAG
Molecule: ribosomal RNA, 458 nt
Filed under: Salmonella enterica subsp. enterica serovar Typhimurium
Lineage: Bacteria; Pseudomonadati; Pseudomonadota; Gammaproteobacteria; Enterobacterales; Enterobacteriaceae
Description: bacterial LSU rRNA
Rfam family: Bacterial large subunit ribosomal RNA
Source: RNAcentral